UUUUAUUGAAAUGCACUGCAGAUAUGAGUGAAAUUGUGUAAAGUAACUCCAUCACACUGUAUAAAGCUAUGAUAAAUUUUUUGAUAUUUUUACUGAAAACAAGACAAAAAUACCAAGUAAUUUUUUGCAGUGUGACUCCAUUAAAUGUGUGUGUGUGUGUGUGUGUGUGUGUGUGUGUGUGUGUGUGUGUGUGUGUGUGUGUAUUAAACAUGAACGGGCCAAAACGGACAUGGCAGCAGGUCAAAAUCAAAUACAAGAACAUUCUGCAGAAUGCAGUGAAAAAGAAUACCCACAGACAAGGCACGGGUGGUGGGUCACCAAAGGCUGACCUUACCCCAGCAGAGGACAUGGCCUUGGAGCUAAAUAAAGGCAGGCCCGUCUUAGAGGGGAUCCCUGGGGGGAAAGAGACGAGCAUAGGUUCCUCCCAAGAUGCCACCCGCUUCAUUCAAGUGUCUGGCAGCACUGUGUUCCUGUUAGAGCCACCAGCACAAGCACCAGACGAUGCUGAUCCAGUGAGUACUCCAUCAAAGGCAUACUGUAGGCCUGGCAUGUCUUGUCUACUAGCUUCAAUAUGAAUCCGAUUAAAUGUGAUAGGGUGAAGGCCCCAGUGCAGCAGCAACAGCACAUGAUGGAGACGAUGAUGAGGAGGAGACCAUCUCUCUGGAUUCCAGAAGGCAUGAGGACCCAGAUGCUAUACAGUGGGAAAACCAGCCUGGCAACAUAAGCUCACAAGCUAUCAGAAAGUUGUAUGGCAACCACCUCCGGCGCCAAAUAGAACUGGCAGACAUAGACAUUCAGUACAAGAAGAAAAAGAUGGAAAAUCUUGCACUGGAGUUCGAAAUAAAAAAGAGGACAAUUAGGAAACUGGACCUUGAAAUAAAAAAACUUGAGAGGGAGGUGAGAUAUGCCUUCAAU
Molecule: long non-coding RNA, 915 nt
Organism: Oncorhynchus tshawytscha (Chinook salmon)
Lineage: Eukaryota; Metazoa; Chordata; Actinopteri; Salmoniformes; Salmonidae
Source: Ensembl